This 497-nucleotide ribosomal RNA is filed under the name uncultured bacterium. Its description in RNAcentral is "partial 16S ribosomal RNA". It matches the Rfam family "Bacterial small subunit ribosomal RNA", at positions 28 to 507 of the family's 1533-position model. The record is from RNAcentral.
GAUGAACGCUGGCGGCGUGCCUAAUACAUGCAAGUCGAGCGAACAGACGAGGAGCUUGCUCCUCUGACGUUAGCGGCGGACGGGUGAGUAACACGUGGAUGACCUACCUAUAAGACUGGGAUAACUUCGGGAAACCGGAGCUAAUACCGGAUAAUAUAUUGAACCGCAUGGUUCAAUAGUGAAAGACGGUUUUGCUGUCACUUAUAGAUGGAUCCGCGCCGCAUUAGCUAGUUGGUAAGGUAACGGCUUACCAAGGCAACGAUGCGUAGCCGACCUGAGAGGGUGAUCGGCCACACUGGAACUGAGACACGGUCCAGACUCCUACGGGAGGCAGCAGUAGGGAAUCUUCCGCAAUGGGCGAAAGCCUGACGGAGCAACGCCGCGUGAGUGAUGAAGGUCUUCGGAUCGUAAAACUCUGUUAGUAGGGAAGAACAAAUGUGUAAGUAACUAUGCACGUCUUGACGGUACCUAAUCAGGAAGCCACGGCUAACUACGUG